CCUACGGGUGGCAGCAGUGAGGAAUAUUGGUCAAUGGACGAGAGUCUGAACCAGCCAAGUAGCGUGAAGGAUGACUGCCCUAUGGGUUGUAAACUUCUUUUAUAUGGGAAUAAAAUGUUCCCCGUGUGGGAUUUUGUAUGUACCAUAUGAAUAAGGAUCGGCUAACUCCGUGCCAGCAGCCGCGGUAAUACGGAGGAUCCGAGCGUUAUCCGGAUUUAUUGGGUUUAAAGGGAGCGUAGGUGGAUUGUUAAGUCAGUUGUGAAAGUUUGCGGCUAAACCGUAAAAUUGCAGUUGAUACUGGCAGUCUUGAGUGCAGUAGAGGUGGGCGGAAUUCGUGGUGUAGCGGUGAAAUGCUUAGAUAUCACGAAGAACUCCGAUUGCGAAGGCAGUUCACUGGACUGCAACUGACGCUGAGGCUCGAAAGUGUGGGUAUCAAACAGGAUUAGAUACCCGAGUAGUC
Molecule: ribosomal RNA, 460 nt
Filed under: uncultured bacterium
Lineage: Bacteria
Description: partial 16S ribosomal RNA
Rfam family: Bacterial small subunit ribosomal RNA
Source: RNAcentral